RNAcentral lists this ribosomal RNA (409 nucleotides) under uncultured Alphaproteobacteria bacterium. Its description in RNAcentral is "bacterial SSU rRNA". It matches the Rfam family "Bacterial small subunit ribosomal RNA", at positions 958 to 1389 of the family's 1533-position model. The record is from RNAcentral. Lineage: Bacteria; Pseudomonadati; Pseudomonadota; Alphaproteobacteria.
AACGCGAAGAACCUUACCAACCCUUGACAUCCUCAGCUACCUCCAGAGAUGGAGGGUUCCCUUCGGGGACUGAGUGACAGGUGCUGCAUGGCUGUCGUCAGCUCGUGUCGUGAGAUGUUCGGUUAAGUCCGGCAACGAGCGCAACCCACAUCUUCAGUUGCCAUCAGUUCGGCUGGGCACUCUGGAGAAACUGCCCGUGAUAAGCGGGAGGAAGGUGUGGAUGACGUCAAGUUCUCAUGGCCCUUACGGGUUGGGCUACACACGUGCUACAAUGGUAGUGACAAUGGGUUAAUCCCAAAAAGCUAUCUCAGUUCGGAUUGGGGUCUGCAACUCGACCCCAUGAAGUCGGAAUCGCUAGUAAUCGCGUAACAGCAUGACGCGGUGAAUACGUUCCCGGGUCUUGUACACA